This 253-nucleotide ribosomal RNA is filed under the name uncultured bacterium. RNAcentral describes it as "partial 16S ribosomal RNA". It matches the Rfam family "Bacterial small subunit ribosomal RNA", at positions 524 to 776 of the family's 1533-position model. The record is from RNAcentral.
UACGGGGGGGGCGAGCGUUGUUCGGAAUUACUGGGCGUAAAGGGCUCGUAGGCGGCCAACUAAGUCGGAUGUGAAAUCCCCAGGCUUAACCUGGGAACUGCAUCCGAUACUGGAUGGCUUGAAUCCGGGAGAGGGAUGCAGAAUUCCAGGUGUAGCGGUGAAAUGCGUAGAUAUCUGGAGGAAUACCGGUGGCGAAGGCGGCAUCCUGGACCGGCAUUGACGCUGAGGAGCGAAAGCUAGGGGAGCAAACGGG